Molecule: ribosomal RNA, 329 nt
Filed under: uncultured eukaryote
Lineage: Eukaryota
Description: partial 18S ribosomal RNA
Rfam family: Eukaryotic small subunit ribosomal RNA
Source: RNAcentral
CCCUUAGAUGUUCUGGGCCGCACGCGCGCUACACUGACGAUGGCAACGAGUUUUUCCUUCGCCGAAAGGUGUGGGUAAUCUUUUGAAACAUCGUCGUGCUGGGGAUAGAUCAUUGCAAUUUUUGAUCUUGAACGAGGAAUUCCUAGUAAGCGCGAGUCAUCAGCUUGCGUUGAUUACGUCCCUGCCCUUUGUACACACCGCCCGUCGCUACUACCGAUUGAAUGGUUUAGUGAGGACUCCUGAUUGGCGCCGCCGCCCCGGCAACGGAGCAGCGGACUGCCGAAAAGUUGUUCAAACUUGAUCAUUUAGAGGAAGUAAAAGUCGUAACA